CGCGUAGGCGGCCUGAUAAGUCAGAUGUGAAAGUCCACGGCUCAACCGUGGAAGUGCAUUUGAAACUGUCAGGCUUGAGUAUCGGAGGGGAGUGUGGAAUUCCCGGUGUAGAGGUGAAAUUCGUAGAGAUCGGGAGGAACACCGGUGGCGAAGGCGACACUCUGGACGAAUACUGACGCUGAGGCGCGAAAGCGUGGGGAGCAAAC
RNAcentral lists this ribosomal RNA (206 nucleotides) under uncultured bacterium. Its description in RNAcentral is "partial 16S ribosomal RNA". It matches the Rfam family "Bacterial small subunit ribosomal RNA", at positions 568 to 773 of the family's 1533-position model. The record is from RNAcentral.